RNAcentral lists this long non-coding RNA (35206 nucleotides) under Triticum aestivum (bread wheat). RNAcentral's name for it is "long non-coding RNA (TAES_LNC006319)". Lineage: Eukaryota; Viridiplantae; Streptophyta; Magnoliopsida; Poales; Poaceae. The record is from RNAcentral.
ACACACACGGUAGUAUGAAAUGUUCUUCCACAUGUUUUAUCAUUAUAAAAGAAAUCAAUUGGUUCGAUCCAUCACGAGCCCCUCAUACUGAAUAGCAAAGCGACAAAACAAGCAGCAAAUCCCCAAACUCCAAUUUAUUAUUACACACCAAAGUCGCACAACAGUUUAACCAAAGAACGGUGGCAAAACUCAGUCUGAUAAAUGGAUCAUCAAAGAAGAUUCAAUGCAUCCAGAAGCAAGGCCGACAUAGGAGCUGUGCACCAUGCCACGGACGUAGCCAGUCGAGGAAGUUGAUCGUAUCUUCUAUACGACUCAUGUUCGACCUUUCGGUCUUCUGUGUUCCGAGGCCAUGUCUGUACAUGCUAGGCUCGUCAAGUCAACCUAAGUGUUUGCAUGUGUAAAUCUGUCUUACACCCGUUGUAUGUGAACGUUGGAGUCUUUCACACCCGAUCAUCACGUGGUGCUUCGAAACAACGAACUGUCGCAACGGUGCACAGUUAGGGGGAACACUUUCUUGAAAUUAUUAUGAGGGAUCAUCUUAUUUACUACCGUCGUUCUAAGCAAAUAAGAUGUAAAACAUGAUAAACAUCACAUGCAAUCAAAUAGUGACAUGAUAUGGCCAAUAUCAUUUUACUCCUUUUGAUCUGCAUCUUCGGGGCUCCAUGAUCAUCGUUGUCACCGGCAUGACACCAUGAUCUCCAUCAUCAUGAUCUCCAUCAUCGUGUCUUCUUGAAGUUGUCACGUCAUCUAUUACUUCUACUACUAUGGCUAACGCUUUAGCAAUAAAGUAAAGUAAUUACAUGACGUUUAUGUUGACACGCACGUCAUAAAUAAAUAAAGACAACUCCUAUGGCUCCUGCCGGUUGUCAUACUCAUCGACAUGCAAGUCGUGAUUCCUAUUACAAGAACAUGAUCAAUCUCAUACAUCACAUAUAUCAUUCAUCACAUCCUUUUGGCCAUAUCACAUCACAAGGCAUAUGCUGCAAAAACAAGUUAGACGUCCUCUAAUUGUUGUUGCAAGUUUUUACGUGGCUGCUAUAGGUUUCUAGCAAGAACGUUUCUUACCUACGCCAAAACCACAACGUGAUAUGCCAAUUGCUAUUUACCCUUCAUAAGGACCCUUUUCAUCGAAUCCGAUCCGACUAAAGUGGGAGAGACAGACACCCGCUAGCCAGCUUAUGCAACUAGUGCAUGUCAGUCGGUGGAACCAGUCUCACGUAAGAGUACGUGUAAGGUCGGUCCGGGCCGCUUCAUCCCACAAUGCGGCCGAAUCAAGAUUGGACUAGUAACGGUAAGAAUAUUGAACAAAAUCAAAGCCCACAACUACUUUGUGUUCUACUCGUGCAUAGAAACUACGCAUAGACCUAGCUCAUGAUGCCAAUGUUGGGGAACGUAGCAGAAAUUCAAAAUUUUCUACGCAUCACCAAGAUCAAUCUAUGGAGUAAUCUAGCAACGAGGGGAAGGAGAGUGCAUCUACAUACCCUUGUAGAUUGCUAAGCGGAAGCAUUCAAGUGAACGGGGUUGAUGGAGUCGUACUCGUCGUGACUCAAAUCACCGAUGAUCCUAGUGUCGAACGGACGGCACCUCCGUGUUCAACACACGUACAGCCCAGUGACGUCUCCUACGCCUUGAUCCAGCAAGGGAGAAGGAGAGGUUGGGAAGACUCCAUCCAGCAGCAGCACAACGGCGUGGUGGUGGUGGAGGGGCGCGGGACUCCAGCAGGGCUUCGCUAAGCACUACGAGAGACGAGGAGGGAGAGGGGUAGGGCUGCACCAACAGGGAGAUUGAAUCGUGUGUGUUGGGCAGCCCAAACCUCAAGUAUAUAUAGGGGGAGGGGAGGGGCUGCGCCCCUACCUAGGGUUCCACCUCUAGGGGCGGCGGCCAGCCCUAGAUCCCAUCUAGGGGCGGCCAAGGGGGGGAGAGAGGGGGCGCACCACUAGGUGGGCCUUAGGCCCAUCUGAGCCUAGGGUUUGCCCCCUUCCACUCUCCCUUGAGCCUUGGGCCUUGGUGGGGGGCACACCAGCCCACUUGGGGCUGGUCCCCUCCCACACUUGACCCAUGCAGCCCUCUGGGGCUGGUGGCCCCAUUUGGUGGACCACCGGGACCCUCCCGGUGGUCCCGGUACAUUACCAAUAAAACCCUAAACUUUUCCAGCGACCAAAACAGGACUUCCUAUAUAUAAAUCUUUACCUCCGGACCAUUCUGGAAUUCCUCAUGACGUCCGGGAUCUCAUGCGGGACUCCGAACAACAUUCGGUAACCGCGUACAUACUUUCCCUAUAACCCUAGCGUCAUCGAACCUUAAGUGUGUAGACCCUACGGGUUCAGGAAACAUGUAGACAUGACCGAGACACCUCUCCGGUCAAUAACCAACAGUGGGAUCUUGAUACCCAUGUUGGCUCCCACGUGCUUCAUGAUGAUCUCAUCGGAUGAACCACGAUGUCAAGGACUUAAUCAAUCCCGUAUACAAUUCCCUUUGUCUAGCGGUACGAUACUUGCCCGAGAUUCGAUCGUCGGUAUCCCGAUACCUUUGUCAAUCUCGUUACCGGAAAGUGUCUUUACUCGUUCCGUAACACAUCAUCACGUGACCAACUCCUUGAUCACAUUGUGCACAUUAUGAUGAUGUCUUACCGAGUGGGCCCAGAGAUACCUCUCCAUUUACACGGAGUGACAAAUCCCAGUCUCGAUUCGUGCCAACCCAACAGACACUUUCAGAGAUACCUGUAGUGUACCUUUAUAGCCACCCAGUUACGUUGUGACGUUUGGCACACCCAAAGCACUCCUACGGUAUCCGGGAGUUGCACAAUCUCAUGGUCUAAGGAAAUGAUACUUGACAUUAGAAAAGCUUUAGCAAACGAACUACACGAUCUUGUGCUAGGCUUAGGAUUGGGUCUUGUCCAUCACAUCAUUCUCCUAAUGAUGUGAUCCCGUUAUCAACGACAUCCAAUGUCCAUGGUCAGGAAACCGUAACCAUCUAUUGAUCAACGAGCUAGUCAACUAGAGGCUUACUAGGGACAUGGUGUUUUCUGUGUAUCCACACAUGUAUCUGAGUUUCCUAUCAAUACAAUUCUAGCAUGGAUAAUAAACGAUUAUCAUGAACAAGGAAAUAUAAUAAUAACCAAUUUAUUAUUGCCUCUAGGGCAUAUUGACAACAGUUUAUUCCAACUCCUAGAGGCUUGCGCCGUCCAUAAAUGGAUCACUGGAGCUUGCAUACUUUGUUAGCUCCCUUUGGAUCGACAAAACCUUCUGGUUGCAUCAUAUACAACUCUUCUUCCAAAAAUCCAUUCAGGAAUGCAAUUUUUACAUCCAUUUACCAAAUUUCAUAAUCAUAAAAUGCGGCAAUUGCGAACAUGAUUCGGACAGACAUAAGCAUCGCUACGGGUGAGAAGGUCUCAUCGUAGUCAAUCCCUUGAACUUGUCGAAAACCUUUCGCAACAAGUCGAGCUUUAUAGACAGUAACAUUACCGUCAGCGUCAGUCUUCUUCUUGAAGAUCCAUUUAUUGUCAAUGGCUUGCCGAUCAUCGGGCAAGUCAACCAAAGUCCACACUUUGUUCUCAUACAUGGAUCCCAUCUCAGAUUUCAUGGCUUCAAGCCAUUUUGCGGAAUCUGGGCUCACCAUCGCUUCUUCAUAGUUCGCAGGUUCAUCAUGGUCUAGUAACAUGACUUCCAGAACAGGAUUACCAUACCACUCUGGUGCGGACCUUACUCUGGUUGAUCUACAAGGUUCAGUGAGGGAGUCCAGGAUUAGGGGGUAUCCGGACAGCCGGACUAUAUCCUUUGGCCGGACUGUUGGACUACGAAGAUACAAGAUUGAAGACUUCGUCCCGUGUCCGGAUGGGACUCUUCUUGCCAUGGAAGGCAAGCUUGACAAUACGGAUAUGCAGAUCUCCUUCCUUGUAACCGAAUCUGUGUAACCCUAGCCCCCACCGGUGUCUAUAUAAACCGGAGGGUUUUAGUCCGUAGGACAACAUGCAAUCAUACCAUAGGCUAGCUUCUAGGGUUUAGCCUCUCUCAUCUCGUGGUAGAUCAACUCUUGUACUACUCAUAUUAUCAAGAAUAAUCAAGCAGGACAUAGGGUUUUACCUCCAUCAAGAGGGCCCAGACCUGGGUAAAACAUCGUGUCCCGUGCCUCAUGUUACCAUCCGCCUUAGACGCAUAGUUCGGGACCCCCUACUCGAGAUCCGCCGGUUUUGACACCGACAUUGGUGCCUUCAUUGAGAGUUCCUCUGUGUCAUCAUCAUUAGGCUUGAUGGCUCCUUCGAUCAUCGACAGCGAUGCAGUACAGGGUGAGACUUUUCUCCUCGGAUAGAUCUUUGUAUUUGGCGGUUUCGCACUACGUGCCAACUCGCUUGGCCAUCUGGAGCAGAUCGACAGUUACGCCCCUGGCCACCAGGUCUGGUUUGGAAGCUUAAAUUACACGGCUGACAUCCGCGGAGACUUGAUCUUUGACGGAUUCGAGCCCCUGCCGAGUACGCUGCACGGUCACGAUGAGCAUGAUUUAGCUCUACCGUCGGAAAAUGUGCAGGAGAUCGCACCGGCAACCGCUCCGACCCUCAAUUCGGAGCCGAUUGUGCCAUCCACGGAUGGGGGGAUAGACCCCACCACGGAGGCCGCAUUCUCAGUGGUGAUCGAGCCGAGUAUUGACCUUACGCUUCACGAGAGCCUUGAUGCCAAAUUGCCGGAUUCUUCCCCGGCCACGGACUCCGAACCGCUUGAGCCCGUGCCUAUCGAAUCCGACUGGGCACCGAUCAUGGAGUUCACCUCCGCGGAUAUCUUUCGGCACUCGCCCUUCGGCGACAUGCUGAACUCAUUAAGGUCUCUCUCCCUGUCAGGAGAGUCCUGACCGAACUAUUUUCGGCAGGAUUGGGAUGCGGAUGACAAAGAAAUUCGCCGCCCACCCACCACCCACUUAGUAGCCACUGUCGACAAUUUAACCAACAUGCUCAACUUCGACUCCGAAGACAUCGACAGUAUGGACGACGAUGCGGGAGACGAAGAGGAACCACUACCCACAGGGCACUGGACAGCCACCUCGUCAUAUGAUAUAUACAUGGUGGACACACCCAAAGAAGGCAAUGGCGACGGGACAGCGGAGGAUGACCCCUCCAAGAAGCAACCCAAGCGCUGACGUCAGCGGCGCCACUCUAAGUCUCGCCAAAGCAAAAGCGGUGACACCGGCACAGGAGAUAAUAGCACCCCGGAUAGUGCCGAAGAUGACAACAAUCCCCUCCAGCAAGAUUCAGAGCAGGAGGAUGGAGAAGCCAGCCCUCCCGAGAGAGCGACAUAUGAAGAGGCGGAGGACGAUAAUUACAUGCCUCCCUCCGAAGACGAGGCAAGCCUCGACAAUGACGAAUUUGUCGUGCCGGAGGAUCCCGCCGAGCAAGAGCGCUUCAAGUGCCGGCUUAUAGCCACGGAAAAUAGCCUUAAGAAAAAGCAGCAGCAGCUUCAAGCUGAUCAAGAUUUGCUAGCUGAUAGAUGGACUGAAGUCCUUGCGGCCGAGGAAUAUGAACUCGAACGCCCCUCCAAGAGUUACCGAAAGCGCUGGUUGCUACGCCGACUGGAGGAGGAAGCAUUAAAACCUACAUCUCCAGCAUAUGACGUGGCUGAUCGGCCACCUCAUGGCCGCGACAGAGAGGCAUUUCAGCCAAAAACUCAACCCGCACCCCGACGCCACUCAAAUAAAAAUGACAAGGCACGGGGAAACUAAAGGAAAUAUGCCCUAGAGGCAAUAAUAAAGUUAUUAUUUAUUUCCUUAUAUCAUGAUAAAUGUUUAUUAUUCAUGCUAGAAUUGUAUAAACCGGAAAUGUAAUACUUAUGUAAAUACAUAGACAAACAAAGCGUCACUAGUAUGCCUCUACUUGACUAGCUCGUUAAUCGAAGAUGGUUAUGUUUCCUAACCAUAGACAUGAGUUGUCAUUUGAUUAACGUGAUCACAUCAUUAGGAGAAUGAUGUGAUUGACAUGACCCAUUCCAUUAGCUUAGCACCCGAUCAUUUAGUAUGUUGCUAUUGCUUUCUUCAUGACUUAUACAAGUUCCUAUGACUAUGAGAUUAUGCAACUCCCGUUUACCGGAGGAACACUUUGUGUGCUACCAAACGUCACAACGUAACUGGGUGAUUAUAAAGGUGCUCUACAGGUGUCUCCAAAGGUACAUGUUGGGUUGGCGUAUUUCGAGAUUAGGAUUUGUCGCUCCGAUUGUCGGAGAAGUAUCUCCGGGCCCUCUCGGUAAUACACAUCACUUAAGCCUUGCAAGCAAUGCAACUAAUAAGUUAGAUGCAAGAUGAUGUAUUAUGGAACGAGUAAAGAGACUUGCCGGUAAAGAGAUUGAACUAGGUAUUGAGAUACCGACGAUCGAAUCUCCGGCAAGUAACAUACCGAUGACAAAGGGAACAACGUAUGUUGUUAUGCGGUCUGACUGAUAAAGAUCUUCGUAGAAUAUGUAGGAGCCAAUAUGAGCAUCCAGGUUCCACUAUUGGUUAUUGACCGGAGACAUGUCUCGGUCAUGUCUACAUUGUUCUCGAACCCGUAGGGUCCGCACGCUUAAUGUUACGAUGACAGUUUCAUUAUGAGUUUAUAUAUUUUGAUGUACUGAAGGUUGUUCGGAGUCCCGGAUGUGAUCACAGACUUGAUGAGGAGUCUCGAAAUGGUCGAGACAUAAAGAUCGAUAUAUUGGACGACUAUAUUUGGACACCGGAAAGGUUCCGGGUAAGAUUGGGACAAUACCGGAUCACCGGGAGGUUAUCGGAACCCCCCGGGACGUGUAUGGGCCUUAUUGGGCCUUAGUGGAAAGGAGGGGAAAGGAGCAAGGGAGGGGGCGCCCCCCCCCAAGCCCAAUCCGAAUUGGGAGGGGGGCCGCCCCCCUUUCCUUCCUUCCUCCUUCCUCUUCCUUCCCUCUCCUACUCCUAAUAGGAAAAAGGGGAGUCCUACUCCCGGUGGGAGUUGGACUCCCCCCCUUGGGCGCGCCACCCUCCUUGGCCGGCACCCUCCUCCACUCCUUUAUAUACGGGGGCAAGGGGCACCCCAGAGACACAACAAUUGAUCAUUGAUAUCUUAGCCGUGUGCGGUGCCCCCCUCCAUCAUAAUCCUCGAUAAUAUUGUAGCGGUGCUUAGGCGAAGCCCUGCGGCGGUAGAACAUCAAGAUCGUCACCACGCCGUCGUGCUGACGGAACUCAUCCCCGACACUUUGCUGGAUCGGAGUCCGGGGAUCAUCAUCGAGCUGAACGUGUGCAAAAACUUGGAGGUGCCGUAGUUUCGGUGCUUGAUCGGUCGGGCCGUGAAGACGUACGACUACAUCAACCGCGUUGUUAUAAUGCUUCUGCUUCCGGUCUACGAGGGUACGUAGACAACACUCUCCCCUCUCGUUGUUGUCCAUCACCAUGAUCUUGCAUGUGCGUAGGAAUUUUUUUGAAAUUACUACGUUCCCCAACAGAAACACGCUAGAUCUGCGAGACGUAUUGGAGGACAAAGCAAAACAUGCAAGAUCGAUCUACGAAUCACGAGGGCGUGCCACUACGCGAGACGAUAACCGUCACGCCGGAUACAGUAAAAGUAAAUCCGACCGGGCCGAACACAGCGGACAAGACUCAUUCGAGCUGCGUCGCGACAUAGCCCACUACAGAGGCGCCGCACACCCCAUAUGCUUCACAGACGAAGUAAUGGAUCACCAAAUCCUAGAGGGUUUCAAACCCGUAAAUAUCAAAUCAUACGACGGCACAACAAAUCCUGCAGUAUGGAUCGAAGACUUCCUCCUGCACAUCCACAUGGCCCGCGGUGAUGAUCUACACGCCAUCAAAUACCUCCCACUGAAGCUCAAAGGACCAGCUCGGCAUUGGCUCAACAGCCUGCCAGCAGAAUCCAUUAGCUGUUGGGAAGAUCUGGAAGCCGCAUUCCUCGACAACUUCCAGGGCACUUAUGUGCGACCACCAGAUGCCAAUGACUUGAGCCACAUAAUUCAGCAGCCAGAGGAAUCGGCCAGGCAAUUCUGGACACGGUUCCUGACAAAGAAAAAUCAAAUUGUCGACUGUUCGGAUGUAGAGGCCCUAGCAGCUUUUAAGCACAACAUCCGCGAUGAGUGGCUCGCCCGGCACCUUGGCCAGGAAAAGCCGAAAUCUAUGGCAGCCCUCACGACACUCAUGACCCGCUUUUGCGCGGGAGAAGACAGCUGGCUGGCUCACAGCAAUAACAUAUCAAAGAACCACGUUACUUCAGAUACCAAGGAUAGCAAUGGCAGGUCACGCCGCAACAAACAUAAGCGUCACGUCAAUAACGACAAUGUCGAGGAUACUGCAGUCAAUGCCGGAUUCAGAGGCUCUAAACCCGGUCAGCGGAAAAAGCCAUUCAAAAGAAGCACUACGGGCCCAUCCAGUUUGGUCUGUAUACUCGAUUGCUCGUGCCAAAUACAUGGCACCCCCGACAAGCCAGCCAACCACACAAACAGGGAAUGUUGGGUGUUCAAGCAGGCCGGCAAGUUAAACGCCGAAAACAAAGAUAAGGGGUACAUAGCGAUGACGAGGAAGAGCCCCGGCAGCCGAACACCGGAGGAUAGAAGAGGUUCCCCCCACAAGUGCGGACGGUGAACAUGAUAUACGCAACCCACAUCCCAAGAGGGAGCGGAAGCGUGCGUUAAGGGAUGUAUAUGCGUUGGAGCCAGUCGCCCCAGAGUUCAACCCAUGGUCCUCCUAUCCGAUCACCUUCGAUCGUAGGGACCACCCCACUUGUAUCCGUCAUGGAAGAUUCGCCGCACUGGUCCUAGACCCAAUCAUCGACGGAUUUCACCUCACUCGAGUCCUUAUGGACAGCGGCAGCAUCCUGAACCUGCUUUAUCAAGACACAAUGCGCAAAAUGGGUAUAGACCCCUCAAGGAUCAAACCCACAAAAACAACCUUCAAAGGCGUCAUACCAGGUGUAGAGUCCCAUUGCACAGGCUCAGUCACACUGGAAGUGGUCUUCGGAUCCCUGGAUAACUUCUGAAGCGAGGAGUUAAUCUUCGAUAUAGUCCCGUUCCGCAGUGGCUAUCAUGCACUGCUCGGGCGAACCGCAUUUGCGAGAUUCAACGCGGUACCGCACUAUGCAUAUCUCAAGCUCAAGAUGCCAGGACCUCGGGGGGUCAUCACAAUCAAUGGAAACACAGAGCGCUCUCUCCGCACGGAGGAGCACACUGCGGCCCUCGCAGUAGAAGUGCAAAGCAGCCUCUUAACGCAAUCCACCAGUUUGGCGAUUAAAGACCCGGAGUAAUCGGCAACAAGACCAACUGGCAUGUUCCGAGCUCGCAUAGCAAUGCGGCCCCCACCCCAGUCCUAGCAAAACGGCGAAAUCCGUGCCACGCAUACAUAAUUACACAUUGAAAAUACCAUGGGCACAUGUGGGGAGGGGGGCACGACUACGGCACGCCCCAAGACGCGGCUCAACCGCACUAGGGGCUUCCCGCUUUGUUAUUUUUCUCUCUUUCAGGACGUUAAUCUCUGGAAACCCCGUCCGGCAGUACGAUUGCUGGACACACGAUGCAACAACCAAGGAGGGAGAAAGCUACAUCGUACCACGGAACUCCCAGGUGGUCUCUGAUAACGAGUGAAAUACUUGCUUCAAAUACCAUUCCUCAGGUUGCCCUUGGAGGGGACAUGUCAAAUAGUCCUACUUUUUUCUUAUCGCACUACUUGUAUCAUUCUGCUUCGACGCACCUUUUUGAAUAAACAAUGCAUAACACUAGACUAUUACAACAUUCUCUAUUCUUCUUUAUAUAUAUAUAUAUGUUCAUUCACAACAUUCAGCACCCGUACACUUUGGUACGGCCAAUAUGUCAGGGGCUUAAGCGUAACCCAUAAUACGGCGUGAGAAGUUCGAACACUUUCAAUAGUGCGGCACCCCGAACUUAUAGCAUUAUAUGCAUUAGCUCCGAAUCAUGUCUUGGGUCAAUAGUUGGGUUUGCCUGGCUCCGAUGUUUUGGUACCUUACAUUCCGCUAUCUCGGCUAAGGUAGCACUGGGAGAACUACUGCGAUUGUGCCCCGGUUCAUCUGGGCAAGCACCUCAGUAGAGAAAGCUAAAACUGGCUGUCAUGAUAAGGCGAGGGCUAGUCGCUGUUCGAGAGGUCUCGAGUGCCUAAAGACUUAUGCCGCUUAGAGCGAGGAGUCGGCUUUGUCCGGCUUAAGGCGUGUAUAGCGCCCCGAAUUCGGCCUUCCGAAUAUUAGGGUGUCGGUGUCAAAACCGGCGGAUCUCGGAUAGGGGGUCCCGAACUGUGCGUCUAAGGCGGAUGGUAACAGGAGGCAGGGGACACGAAGUUUUACCCAGGUUCGGGCCCUCUUGAUGGAGGUAAAACUCUAUGUCCUGCUUGAUUAAUAUUGAUGAUAUGGGUAGUACAAGAGUAGAUCUACCACGAGAUCAGGGAGGCUAAACCCUAGAAGUUAGCCUAUGGUAUGAUUGUAUGUUCUUGUUCUGUCCUACGGACUAAAACCCUCCGGUUUAUAUAGACACUGGAGAUGGUUAGGGUUACACAAGGUCGGUUACAAAGGAAGAUAUAUCCAUAUCCGUACUGCCAAGCUUGACUUCCAUGCCAAGUAGAGUCCCAUCCGGACACGAGACGAAGUCUUCAAUCUUGUAUCUUCAUAGUCCAACAGUCCGGCCAAAGGAUAUAGUCCGGCUGUCUAGAGACCCCCCCAAUCCAGGACUCCCUCAGUAGCCCCUGAACCAGGCUUCAAUGAUGAUGAGUCCGGCGCGUAGUAUUGUCUUCGACAUUGCAAGGCGGGUUCCUCCCCCGAAUACACCACGGAAGAAUUUGAAUACAAGGAUAGUGUCCGACCCUGCAAAAUAAGUUCCAGAUACCACCGUAGAGAGAAUAAUAUUUCCAAAAAUCUAAUUUGCUGACUUGUUUUGGCAGCACGACAUUAUGUCAUGGCCCGGUGAUUAUUCGAACCGUUUCCUUUAACUAGUCCCGCACAUAAUGUGAGGCAGUUUUUUGACACGUCUUGUCAAAGAAGAGAUCGUGUCCCCUUAUUACGGGAUUCUCAUCAAUACGGGCGUGGGUAACCCAACCGCGCCAUCGAUUACGGUGCUUGGGGGAUAAGCGAGUUUUACCAGGCUAGUGGGGAUGCAUAGUUUCGUCCGCCCAUAUAAAGGGAUAAGGAUUUACUUUUUCAUCCACGCCUUCUUCCUCCUUUGCUCAUCCAUUUUCGCACACUCAAGCUCCAACAGCCAAGUCCACAUCCUUUCCCUCAACCUUCUCCAAACAUGUUCGGAGCGGGAGGCAAAUGGAUGGCUUCCUCCGUUACGGAGGGACAUAUCAAGAAGCUGCACAGAGCCAGAUACUUAGCCGCGAAUAUCGCGCAUCGGCUGCCUGCUGCAGGGCAGAUCGUCCCUACCCCGGAGCCACACGAGAGCGUAGUUUUCCUCCACCACUUCUUCCGCGGACUGGGGUUUCCCCUCCAUCCAUUCAUCCGUGGUCUCAUGUUCUACUACGGGAUGGACUUUCAUGAUCUGGCCCCGAACUUUGUACUCAACAUUUCGGCGUUCAUCGUCGCGUGUGAGGCUUUCCUCCGCAUUCGGCCCCACUUCGGUCUGUGGUUAAAGACCUUCAAUAUCAAGCCGAAGGUGGUGGGAGGCCAACAAGCAGAAUGCGGCGGAGCCAUGGUGGGCAAGAUGCCCAAUGUUAUAUGGCUUGAAGGCUCCUUUGUGGAGACCAUAAAGGGGUGGCAAUCGGCGUGGUUCUACAUCACCGAGCCGCGCGACGCCAAAUGGGCGGCGACCCCCGAGUUUCGAUCCAGAUUCCCUACAUGGCUCACUUCCUAGAAAGAGAAGGGCUUGUCGUGGGGUUCAUCGGUGGAGCUGGAUGGACUCCGGAAAUGUAUCCGGAGUAUGGCAAGCAAGAAGCUCAAGCUUGUCAACAUAGUCCAGGUCAUGCUCAUCCGCCGGAUCCUCCCAUGUCAACAACGGGAUUUUAACUUGUGGGAGUUCGACCCAGCCCAGCACCAGACUCUGAGCGAGCUCUUCGAUAUGAUGCACAAGGACGUCUGGAAGGUGUUGUUCAAGGGCACCGAGGUCCCUCCUUCUCUCUCCGAGGACCGUGGGCUAAGUGCAAAGCGCCUAGCACGUUCGGUGAGUUCAAUACAUCCUGUAGGAUAUUUAUUUCCCCUAGCUUAAUCACGUGCGGGGUCUGACCUUCAUGCCUUUGACAGGACUGGGUGGAGACAUCGGGGCAGAUUAACUGUCCGGCCCCUUUGCCCGAAGACACUGCGGGCGCUCUCCUGACGGAGAUGCAGACACCGGCUCCUUACACGGUGCCGGAGAAGACCAAGAAGGCCAAGGGAACCCGAAAGAGUUCCUGACGCCAUGCGUCAUCGGACUCACCGGCCGAUGACUCUACGGCACACUCCUCCCCCGAAGACGAGGAUGAAGAAGAAGAUGCUCCCCCUUCAGUUGGGGGAGAUAAGAAAAGGAAGGCCGCCCCAACUGGGGAGGCCAGAGGGUCCAAGAAGGGAAGGGUUCUCCUUCCGGACAGUUCCACCACCGCCGCCGAAGGCGAAGACGAGUGGUUACCCAGGGCCAAGCCCCUGGGGAGGUCGUAAGUAUUCGGAUACCAGAGUAACUCAUAGUAUCCUUUUGUGCACCGCUUCCCCUAACGCCGAAUAUGAUUAUGCAGGCCGCCACGAGCCCGUAUCGAUGUACCGUCGGACGGCUCCCUGGGCUCGUCGGAUAUGGAUAGCGAUCCACUUCCGACCGCCACCUCCCCUUGCCCUACGGACGACACCGAGGUAUUGUCUCAAGAGGCACUGGGUCGAGGGGAGACAGUCCCGAAGGCACCUCAAGGUGACCUUCCAGACUCCGGGGGCAGAGGGGACAAGGCCCCUGAGGGCUCCGGGUUUGGCCCUCAGCCGAACACCGUGCCGGAACCUCCAGUGGUUCUAGACUCGGGCAGACGGCCUCCUUCCAAGAGGGGCAGGACGCCUGUGCCGGUGACCUCUGUCCAUCGAGAGGCGCCGGACAAUCUGCUGGAAGCGCUUCGCAACGCUUCCAUCGACGAGGAGCACCGUACUAUUAUGAGUGCGGUGGUCCAGAAGGUUCAGUCCGCCAAGAGCGGAUUGACUGAAGCCUGUGCCAGCCUUCUAACAAGCUUUGAGGUAAGUGUUAAAAUAUAGGAAAAAUAUUACCGCAUAGAUAGUAGCCCCUGAUGCUCUGUUAGGUGUUCACAAAGAAAAGCCGAACAGAGGAUGAAACAACAUCGCAGGAGUCUAAUAUAAGUAUUUCAAUAUGCGUAUGUAGGCUUCGCUGCUGGCAUCUGCCGCACUGACUGUGGAGGUCGCCGCACUGAAGUAGGACCUUAAAGGGUCCAAGGACGAGCUCGGCCUUGCCAAGAGGCAGCUCGAGGAGAACAAAGGUAAGUAAUACCCUGUCUAUAGAUAUGUAUAUAUAAAAGAAGACGUGAUUGCAAAAUGACAGGAUCAUCGUAUGUUUGCCAGGGGCCGCGACCGAAGUGGCGACCCUAAAGAAAGUGUUGUCCAAGGCCGAAGAUAAAGCGGCCAAGGAGCACACCGAGCGGGAAAAGCAAGAGGCUCGGGUGGGCGAGGUGCAGCAAGAGUUCCAGGCUCUCAUGACGAAGCACGAGGCGUUUGAGCUUGACUCGAAGACGCGAGAGUCUGAGCUUGCCGCGGCCCUUGAGAGCGCAAAAAGUGCCAAGGCCGAAGCCCAAAAGGCCCUCUAAGAGAUUGACGCGAUGAAGAAAAUAGCGGCGGGUAAGGCAUUCUAUAUGCAAAGCAAGCAUGUGAAAAUAAAUUACCUAUUACUUACCCGAAUCCGGAGCUCUCCAGGAGAAUUCGCAGAUUUGCCCCGCAGCGUGUCGGAUGCCGCAUAGUUUUACCAGGCCGAGGAGGGAAGCUCAACAGAGAAGCUGUUCUGGUCUCAGUAUACUGGGACCGAACACCCGGUGCCUAUGAGCGACCAGCUGAAGCAGCUGGUCGAGCUACACAAAGCGGCCGAACAGGCCAUGAAGGGCUUUAUAGUCCGGCUGUGGCCUGGCGACGCCCUUCCGAACAGCUACUUCGGCCUGGUGAGGCGGCUUGUGGACGCCUGCCCACGGCUGGAGGUCGUCAAGCGGUCUGUGUGCACCGAAGGUGCACGCCGGGCUUUCGCCCGCGUGAAGGUGCAACGGGACAAACUAGAUGUCGUGAGGCUGAUCAAGGGGGACCGCCGCAGCGCAAGGAGCAUCGCAACCCCGAAAUUUAUUAUGAGGGUGUCCUGAAGGGUGCCCAUCUUGUAGCGGAUGAAUGUUCAAAUGAUGUAAUAUUUGAGUAAACUUGCUCGUGUGAUCCUGUAUGAUGAAAACUUGUUUCAUAUGUGCUAUGCAACGCUUGUUUGAAUUUAAAAUAUUACCUUCUGUUUGGCUGUUUAUCCAAUCUAAGAGAUGGCUAGUCCUCGGCUUCUGCCCCCAUGCCGCGAGUGCUGGGGUGUUCGGGAUAAACCUGAGCACCCUUGUUCCCAUGUUUGGGUCCUUCGAGGGAGGUGCUCAGCACAGCGAACAAGGCAACCAGACUAAUAAUGCUUUAUCACUCUCACUUAGCCAUAGAAUUCUAUAAUUUUAAAUUUCGGUGAAGCCCCAGGUAUUCGGAAAGUCGAAUUCAGGGCGCGAUACACGCCUUUAAGCCGGUUAGGACCAGCUCCUCGCUCCAAGCGGCAUAAGUCUUUAGGGACUCGAAACCUUGCCGAACAGCGACCAGUCUCUCACCUUAUCAUGACAGUCAGUUUUAGCUUUCUCUACUGAGGUGCUUAGCCCAGUAGAACCAGGGCACAAUCGCAGUAGCUCUCCUAGUGCUACCUUAGCCGAUAGAGCGGAACGUAAGGUGCCAAAACAUAGGAGCUGGGCAAACCCAACAUUUGACCAAAGACAUGAUUCGGAGCUGAUGCAUAUAAUGCCAUAAGUUCCGGGUGCCGCACUUGUGAAAGUGUUCAGACUUCUCACACCAUAUUGUGGGGUACUUAAGCCCCUAGUGUGUUGGCCGUACCCAAGUGUACGGUUGCAAGGUGUCAUUAAUGAACACAUAUAUAUAUAACAAGAAUGCAAUAAUAGUCGUAAUGUUAUGCGUUGUUUAUUCAAAGAGGUGCGUUAAAGCAGAAUGAUACAGAUAGUGUGAUAAGAAAAAAGUAGGACUAUGUCCCUUCCAAGGGCAAGCUGAGGAAUAGUAUUAAAGCAAAUAUUUCACUCGUUAUCGUAAUCCACCUGGGAGUUCUGUGGUGUGACGUAGCUUUCUGCCUCUCUUGGUUGCUGCAUCAUGUGUUCAGCAAUCAUGCUGCCGGACAAGGUUUCCAGAGAUUAAAGUCCUGAAAGAGAAAAAUAACAAAGCGGGAAGCCCCUAGUGUGGUUUAGGCUGCCUCUUGGAGCGUGUCGUAGUUGUGCCCCUCCCGCACUUGUGCCCAUGAUAUUUUUAAUGCGUAAUUAUGUACGCAUGGCACGAAUUUGCCGCUUGGUUGGGACUGGGGUGGGGGCCGCAUUGCUACAUGGGCUCAGAUCGUGCCAGGCGGUCUAGAUGUCGAUUACUCCGAGCGCGCUUGAAGGUGUCCGGGUCUUGAGACGCCGAACUGGUGGAUUGCCUUGAGAGGCUGCUUUGCGCUUCUACUGCGAGGGCCGCAGUGUGCUCCUCCGUUCGGAGAGAGCUCUCUAUUUUUUCAUUAACCGUAAUAACUCCAGGAGGUCCUGGCAUCUUGAGCUUAAGGUACGCAUAAUGAGGUACCGCAUUGAACUCGCAAAUACGGUUCGCCCGAGCAGUGCAUGAUAACCACUGCGGAACGGGACUAUAUCGAAGAUUAAUUCUUUGCUUCGGGAGUUAUUCGGGGAUCCGAAGACCACUUCCAGUGUAAUUGAGACUGUGCAAUGGGCCUCUACACCUGGAAUGACGCCUUUAAAGGUCAUUUUUGUGGGUUUGAUCCUUGAGGGGUCUAUACCCAGUUUAAGCACUGUGUCCUGGUAAAGCAGGUUCAGGCUGUUGCCGCCAUCCAUAAGGACUCGAGUGAGGUGAAAUCCGUCAAUGAUUGGGUCUAAGACUAGUGCGGCGAAUCCGCCGUGACGGAUACUAGUGGGGUGGUCCCUGCGAUCGAAGGUGAUUGGGCAGGAGGACCAUGGGUUGAACUUUGGGGCGACUGGCUCCAAUGCAUAUAUGUCCCUGAGCGCACGCUUCCGCUCCCUCUUGGGGAUGUGGGUUGUGUAUAUCAUGUUCACCGUCCGCACUUGUGGGGGGAACCUCUUUUGUACUCCGGUGUUCGGCUGCCGGGGCUCUUCCUCGUCAUCGCUAUGUGGCCCCUUAUCUUUGUCUUAGGCAAUUAGCUUGCCGGCCUACUUGAAAACCCAACAAUCCCUGUUGGUGUGGUUGGCUGGCUUGUCGGGGGUGCCGUGUAUUUGACAUGAGCGAUCGAGUAUACGGUCCAAACUGGACGGUCCCGGAGUGCUUCUUUUGAAUGGCUUUUUCCGCUGACCGGGUUUAGAGCCUUUGAAUCCAGCAUUGACUGUCGUAUCUUCAGUAUUAUUGCUGUUAAUGCGGCGCUUAUGUUUGUUGCGACGUGACCUGCUAUUGCCGUCCUUGGUAUCCGAAGUACCAUGGUUCUUUGACAUAUUAUUACUGUGAGCCAGCCAGUUGUCUUCUCCCGCACAAAAGUGGGUCGUGAGUGUCGUGAGGGCUGCCAUAGAUUUCGGCUUUUCCUGACCAAGGUGCCGGGCUAGCCACUCGUCGCGAAUGUUGUGUUUGAAAGCUACUAAGGCCUCUGCAUCCGAACAGUCGACGAUUUGAUUUUUCUUUGUUAGAAACCGAGUCCAGAAUUUUCUGGCCGAUUCUUCUGGCUAUUGAAUUAUGUGGCUCAAGUCAUCGGCAUCUGGUGGUCGCACAUAAGUGCCCUGAAAGUUGUCGAGGAAUGCGGCUUCCAGAUCUUCCCAACAGCUAAUGGACUCUGCUGGCAGGCUGUUAAGCCAAUGCCGCGCUGGUCCUUUGAGCUUUAGUGGGAGGUAUUUGAUGGCGUGUAAGUCAUCACCGCGGGCCAUGUGGAUGUGGAGGAGGUAAUCCUCGAUCCAUACCGCGGGAUCUGUUGUGCCGUCGUAUGAUUCAAUAUUUACAGGUUUGAAACCUUCUGGGAUUUGAUGACCCAUUACUUCAUCUGUGAAGCAUAAGGGGUGUGCGGCGCCUCAGUAUUGGGCUAUAUCGUGACGCAACUCGAAUGGGUCUUGCCCGCUGUGUUCGGCCUGGCCAGAUUUAGUUUUACGGUAUCUGGCAUGACGUUUAUCGUCUCGCAUAGUGGCGCGCCCUCGUGAUCCGUUGAUCGAUCUUGCAUGUUUUGCUUUGUCCUCCAAUACGUCUCGCAGGUCUGGUGUGUUUCCCCAUGCUUUUUUAUUUGAAUGGCGUUGGGGUGUGGGCUGAGUUUUUUGCUGGAAUGCCUCUCUAUCACGACCACGAGGUGGUCGAUCAGCCGCGUCAUAUGCUUCUUCCUCCAGUCGAGGUAGCAACCUGCAUUUUGGGUAACUCUUGGAGGGGCGCUCGAGUUUAUAUUCCUCGGCCGCGAGGAAUUCAGUCCAUCUGUCAGCUAGCAGAUCUUGAUCAGCUUGAAGCUGCUGCUGCUUUUUCUUAAGGCUAUUUGCCGUGGCCAUAAGCCGACGCUUGAAGUGCUGUUGUUCGACGGGAUCCUCUGGCACAGCGAAUUUGUCAUCGCCGAGGCUUGCCUCGUCUUCGGAGGGGGGCAUGUAAUUAUCAUCCUCCGCUUCUCCAUCUGCCGCUCUCUCAGGAGGGUUGGCUCUUCCAUCCUCCUGCUCAAACUCUUGCUGGAGGGGUUAAUGUUGUCUUCGGUACUAUCCGGAGUGUUAUUACCUCCUGUGCCGGUAUCACCACUUUUUCUUUGGCGGGACUUAGAGCGGCGCCGCUGACAUCGGCGUUUGAGUUGCUUCUUGGAGGGGUCAUCCUCUGCUGUCUCGUCGCCAUUGCCUUUUUUGGGUGUAUGCACCAUGUAUAUAUCGUAUGAUGAGGUGGCUGUCCAGUGCCCUGUGGGAAGUGGUUCCUCUUCGUCUCCCGCAUCGUCGUCCAUACCGUUGAUGUCUUCGGAGUCGAAGUCGAGCAUGUCGGUUAAGUCAUCGACAGUGGCUACUAAGUGGGUGGUGGGUGGGCCUCGAAUUUCUUCUCGUCUGCAUCCCAGUCCUGCCGGACAUACUUCGGCUAGGAUCCUCCUGACAAGGAGAGGGACCUUAAUGAGUUCAGUAUGUCUCCAAAGGGCGAGUGUUGAAAGAUAUCCGCAGAGGUAAACUCCAUGAUCGGCGCCCAAUCGGAUUCGAUAGGAACGGGCGCAGGCGGUUCGGAGUCCGUGGCCGGAGAAAGAUCUGGCAGUUUAACAAUACGGCUCUCGUGCAAGGUAAGGUCGAUGUUCGGCUCGAUCGCCGCUGAGGGUAAGGCCUUUGUGGAAGGGUCCAUCCACCCGUCCAUGGAUGGUGCAACUGGCUCCGAAUUGAGGGUCAGAGCGGCUGCCGGUGCGAUCUCCUGAACAUUGUCUGAUGUUAGAGCUAAAUCGUACUCAUCGUGACUGUGUGAUGCACAAGGCAGAGGCUCGAAUCCAUCGAAGAUCAAGUCUCCACGGACAUUGGCCGUGUAGUUUAAGCUUCCAAACCUGACCUGGUGGCCAGGGGCGUAGCUUUAAAUCUGCUCCAAAUGGCCAAGCGAAUUGGCCCGUAGUGUAAAGCCGCCAAACACAAAGAUCUGUCCGGGGAGGAAAGUCUCACCCUGGACUGCAUCGCUAUCAAUGAUAGUAGGAGCCAUCAAGCCUAACGGCGACGACACAGAGGAACUCUCAAUGAAAGCACCAAUGUCGGUGUCAAAACCGGCGGAUCUCGAGUAGGGGGUCCCGAACUGUGCGUCUAAGGCGGAUGGUAACAGGAGGCAGGGGACACAAGGUUUUAUCCAGGUUCGGGCCCUCUUGAUGGAGGUAAAACCCUGCGUCCUGCUUGAUUAAUAUUGAUGAUAUGGGUAGUACAAGAGUAGAUCUACCACGAGAUCAGAGAAGCUAAACCCUAGAAGCUAGCCUAUGGUAUGAUUGUAUGUUCUUGUUCUGUCCUACGGACUAAAACCCUCCGGUUUAUAUAGACAGCGGAGAGGGUUAGGGUUACACAAGGUCAGUUACAAAGGAAGAUAUAUCCAUAUCCGUACUGUGUAGCUUGCCUUCCAUGCCAAGUAGAGUCCCAUCCGGACAUGAGACGAAGUCUUCAAUCUUGUAUCUUCAUAGUCCAACAGUCCGGCCAAAGGAUAUAGUCCGGCUGUCCGGAGACCCCCCAAUCCAGGACUCCCUCAUAGGGGCUUCACCAAAAUUAAAAAUUGUAGAGUUCUAUGGCUAAGUGAGAGUGAUAAAGCAUUAUAGUCUGAUUGCCUUGUUCGUUGUGCUGAGCACCUCCCUCGAAGGACCCAACAGUGGGAAAAAGAAUGCUCAGAUUUAUCCCGAACACCCCAGCACUUAGGGCAUGGUGGCACAAGCCGACGACUGGCCAUCUCUCAAAUUUAAUAAACAGCCGCACAAAAGGAAUAUUUUAAAUUCAAGCAAGCGUUGCAUAUCGCAUAUGAACAAGUUUUCAUAAUACAGCAUCACACAAGCAAGUUCAUUCAAAAAUUACAUCCUUCGCACACUCGUCCGCCACAAGACGGGCACCCUUUAGGACACCCUCAUAAUACAUUUCGGGUGGCGAUGCUCCUUGCCCUGCGGCGGCCCUUCUUCACUAGCUUCUCGGCGUCCAUCUUGGCCCAGUGCACCUUCGCACGGGGAAAAGCCCGGCGGGCACCUUCGAUGCAGACGGGCCGCUUGAUGACUUCCAGCCAGGGGUAGACGUCCACAAGCCGCCUCACCAGGCCGAAGUAGCUGUUGGGAAGGGAGUCGCCAGGCCACAUCCGGACUAUAAGGCCCCUCAUGGCCUGUUCGGCCGCCUUGUGCAGCUCGACCAGUUGCUUCAGUUGGUCGCUCAUAGGCAUUGGGUGUUCGGUCCCAGUAUACUGAGACCAGAACAACUUCUCUGUCGAGCUUCCCUCCUCGGCCUGGUAAUAUUUUGCGGCAUCCGACACGCUGAGGGGAAAAUCUGCGAAUACUCCUGGAGAGCUCCGGACUCGUGUAAGUAACAAGUAAUUUACUUUCACAUGCUUGCUUUGCAUAUUGAAUGCCUUACCCGCCGCUAUCCUCCUCAUCACCUCAAUUUCUUGGAGGGCCUUUUGGGCUUCAGCCUUGGCAUGUUUUGUGCUCUUGAGGGCCGCGGCAAGCUCGGACUCUCGUGUCUUCGAGUCAAGCUCCAAAGUCUCGUGCUUCUUCACGAGAGCUUGGAGCUCUUGCUGCACCUCGCCCACCCAUGCCUCUUGUUUCUCCUGCUCGGUGCGCUCCUCGGCCGCUUUGUUUUCGGCCUCAGACAGCGCUCGCUUCAGGGUCGCCACUUCGGUCGUGGCCCCUGGCACAUCCAUGAUGAUCCUAUCAUUUUGCAACCACACAUUUUUUUAUAUAUAGACAAGGUAUUACUUACCUUUGUUCUCCUCGAGCUGCCUCUUGGCAAGGCCGAGCUCUUUCUCGGACCGCUCGAGGUCCUGCUUCAGUGUAGCGACCUCCGCAGUCAGUGCGGCAGAGGUCAGCAGCGAAGCCUGCAUACGCAUACAGACAUACUUAUAUUAGACUCCUGCAGAUAUUAUUUGAUCCUCUAUUCGGCUUUUCUUUGUGAACACCAAAUAGAGCAUCAGGGGCUACUCUCUAUGCGGUAAUAUUUUCCUAUAUUUUAAAUACUUACCUCAAAGCCUGUUAGAAGGCUGGCACAGGCUUCAGUCAGUCUGCUCUUGGCAGACUGAACCUUCUUGAUCACCGCACUCAUAAUAGUGUGGUGCUCUUCGUCGAUGGAAGCGCCGCGAAGCGCUCCCAGCAGGUUGUCCGGUGCCUCUGGAUGGAUAGAGGUCACUGGCACGGGCGGCUUGCCCCUUGUCGGUGUCAAAAUUGGCGGAUCUCGGGUAGGGGGUCCCGAAAUGUGCGUCUAGGCCGGAUGGUAACAGGAGGCAAGGGACACGAAGUUUUACCCAGGUUCGGGCCCUCUCGAUGGAGGUAAAACUCUACGUCAUGCUUGAUUAAUAUUGAUGAUAUGGGUAGUACAAGAGUAGAUCUACCAUGAGAUCAGAGAGGCUAAACCCUAGAAGCUAGCCUAUGGUAUGAUUAUUGAUGUGUAUGUUCUCCUACGGACUAAAACCCUCCGGUUUAUAUAGACACCGGAUAGGGUUAGGGUUACAUAGAGUCGGUUACAAUGGUAGGAGAUCUGAAUAUCCGUAUCGCCAAGCUUGCCUUCCACGCCAAGGAAAGUCCCUUCCGGACACGGGACAAAGUCUUCAAUCUUGUAUCUUCAUAGUCCAGGAGUCCGGCUGAAGGUAUCGUUCGGCUAUCCGAACACCCCCUAAUCCAGGACUCCCUCAGUAGCCCCCGAACCAGGCUUCAAUGACAAUGAGUCCGGCGCGCAGAUUGUCUUCGGCAUUGCAAGGCGGGUUCUCCUCCAAAUUCCAUACACAUGUUGAAUACAGUCCGGUUUCUUGUAGAUGUUGCGCUCCUGAGCUUCUGCGCCCAAUAAUGGCUGCUCCCCACGUGUCAAACGAAUAUGAAAGGUCUGAGUGUUUUUACAUUCACACCCCUAGCCGCGUAAACAAGUUGACCUAUUUAAAGAGACGAGGAUUUAGAUCCAAACCACACCUUCCCCCUUUCGCGAGUGUUCAUCAGAGGGCAUUCGACAAAGAUCCAUUCCACCAUGGCCAGCCGUCGCGACUCCUCCUCCCGCCCUUCCAUCCCUAAGCCUGGACAUUGGGAAAGAUGCUCCAUCCUGCAUAGCGAGUUAGUGACACUCCAGACCAAGGGAUUUCUCCCCCCGGCCUAUAUGACCCCGGUUCGAGCUGGUCUUGCCAUCUAUAACGGCGGAGGGCAAGCGGAGAGCGCCCCUAAUCCCUCCAAAGGAGAGCGGGUGUGCCUCGUCCCUUAUUUAAUAAGGGGGCUCGGAUUUCCCAUCCAUCAUUUCUCCGGGGGCUGCUGGAGUUCUACGGCCUCCAGCUACAUCAUCUCACGCCUGCCUCAGUAUUGCAUAUCGCGGGCUUUGUAGCUCUCUGCGAGCUUUUCUUGGGUAUUGAAGCCCAUUUUGGACUAUGGAGGGAGCUAUUUUGCCUCGUGCCCCGUUCCAAGAAGGGGUCUAUGUAUCAAGUGGCCGGAGUCGAAGUAUGGCGCGUCGCCGGGACCGGCUAUAUGUCCGGAACCCCAAAGAAGGCGUCCGAAGACUAGCCCUCGGAAUGGUUUUACAUAGAAGACGUCCCGCUGCCGGAUCCUGUCCGGAUCGGCCUCCCUGAAUUCAAUAAUGCUCCCUUAAAGAAGCUCCUAAGCUGGCGCCCACGGAGCCCUCAGAGGGAAAGUGACAGGGACGUUGUUUACCUCAUGGGCCGGAUAAGAUUGUUAGCUCAUUCCGGACUAACCAUGAUCCGGGUCAUGGACGCAUGCAUCAUGUGAGGGGUGCAGCCGCUACAGUAUAGAAGCCACCCCAUGUGGGAUUUCAACGGGGAGGACGACACCACCCGCUAUGGCCGUAAGGGGCCGGAUUCGGCUGCGGCUCUAAUAAAGACCUUGUCCGCUUUGUACAAGGGAGAAGAGGAGGAUUUUCUCUGCGUUAACCCAAAGGGUGGAUUUUCCAUGUACAAUCCUCCAAGCUGGGUGAGUGAUCACAUCUUACCCAUCCGUUUUAUAUCCCCAUUGUUAAAUAUUUAAUCUUAGCGAUUUCGACGCAGGAACAGCGCCAGGCUGUUAAAGAAAUAAACAGCCCUCCUCCACAACCCGAGGACCCAGGACGGUCCCUCGACCCGGACUCGCAAGAGGAUCCAGAGCUUUCAGUGGAUCUGAUUGAUGGAGUAUUCCAUCAAUUGAGCAAGGACAACGCCCUGGUGGCCAUUACAGCCGAUUAUCCAGGGCUAAUCCCGGCCUCCCAGAAACAGGAGGCCAAACCUGCGGCGACAAGCCAACGAGGGGCCGCAGGGCCCCGUGGGCAAAAAAGAGGUGCAUUCCGGACCGGGGCGUCAGCGCAAAGGUAUGGCGCACCCCCUUAUCCCAAGUGUCGUACCAUCAGGGCAUAUUAACACUUGUGCCCUCUUCAGGACAAAGAGACCUCGCCGAACUAUAUUCGGAGAGACCGCCAAUCGCGCCUCCACCAGCCAGGCUCCAAAGCCUGGUCCGGAAGCGGGGCCGAACACAAGGCGCGCACUGGACGCUCCUCUGACGGAGGAUGUAGACAGGUUGUCUACCACUAACUAUGAGGUGGAGAGUGCCAUGAACCACAGGCAUCGCCGGACAAUUCUUCGUGACGCUUGUUUCUCCCAAGAGGCGUUAGAUGCCUUUAAGUCGGGAGAUGCGUACCUCCGUGCCGCUCAAAAUGGUCUAACCAGAGCCACAGAGCAAUAUGUAAAAGACAUACGUGUAAGAAAAUUUUGGUAAUUAUAUAUAUACCAGUAGCCCCCGAGACUUGAAACAGUUAAAAUAACUGAUUUAAGGAUCAUUUGUUAUGCAGGUUCUUACAGAAAAGAAUUCCCUACUGUCCAAGGAGCUGGAAGAGUGCAAAGCCCAACUUGAGGUCGCAUUAGCCGCGGCAGGGGAGCCUAAGGAGGCCCCCACUGGUAAUAUACACUUCGAAAGGUAAGUAUUUUGCGAAGCACGGCUUUGGUGCGAAUCUGGCAAAUGAAAUUGCAGAUGGCGCCGGAUUGGAUCCGGAAAGGCAACAUCUCCUACGCCAGCUAAAGGCUGGUGAGAGGGUGUUGUUGAAGGUGAUGGGGGAGAAGAACGAUCUCCGAGAUGCCAACACCAAGCUGGGCGUCGAGCUGAAAGAUGUUCGUGCCCAGCUAUCAGACUCCGUGAAGGAGAAUCAGCGGCUUCGGCGCGGCAUAUUUAAUAAGUUCUUGAAUGAACUUUUUAAAAGAAAGUUCGGCAGGGAAGUCGACUAACAGAGCAAUGUCUGUAGGUGUGCUGACAGGCCGUCCUGGAGAGGAGAUGCCCGGUUCUACGGGUGACCUUUUUCCCGAGCUCUCCCAACUGCUCGAUCGAGUUCGGCAAGCGAUGCGAGGCGUCGCCCAGGCCCUGUGGCCAUCCGUAUCCAUGCCCGAAGGUCUUGGAGAGCAUGGGGAGAAGCUAAAAGGAGCACGGUGGCGCUUCCGAUUGUGGAAGAUAUCAGCCUGCCGUCAAGGCGCUAGGGAGGCCUGGGCCAUGCUGAAGAUGCGGUACGCAAAGGCUAACCCCAACCACAUGGCCGAGGUCGGUCCUAUAGGGCCCGAUGGGAAGGAGAUCCCUGUAAGCUUAGUAUACGGCCAAGUAGAGUUGGCCGCAAAGUAUUCCCAGCAGGACUGUAAAUUAGACAGCAUGUUAGAUGGUAUUGAAGAGGAAUACGAUCAGUCAAAAUGACUAUGUAAUUUAGUUGACAUUUAUAAUGCCUUCUAGCCGGAUUGUAGAUCAUUUGUCAUGGCCGACCUUUUCGCUUCAGCCUCGGGACCUGACGAUCCGGAGUGUGUCCGAAUUCCCAUGCGGUUAUAUAGGAACCGGGGAAUGCAUGGAGACCAGGCGUAGGGGUUAUUAGUGCGUGAACAGACAAGUGCCCGACUAGUUAUGUUAUAUUACAUGGUUAGUAAGAAACAUCUUCCAGGGAGAAUAGUUCCAUUAGGGGUUCCUUUCUCUGGGAGGCAUGCCCUAAGGUGCAUGCCCAUGCUGCGAAAAGAAACGCAGGAAAAACAUCUGGGGGCGUAAAAAAUAAAAAGAUCAUCUUUAGUUCACCAACCGAAUAUUCCCUUAAGAACGCUAGCUUUCGGCUUCACCCAGUCUGAGGUACACGUCCGGCUGACCCGGCAGUAACAAUUGCAGAGGUGCUCCCUUUACCACCUAGCCGAACAAUCGGGAACGUAGGGGUAAGCACAGGAGCCAGGCAACCCAGCUUGGCCAAAACUUAAGUCAUAUCGAUGCAUAUAAUGGUGAAUAAAAGGUACAUGCGGAAGUGUGACGCAUGUGUUGGGCAUGAAGCCCGUAUGAAUAAGCUUAUGUUUAAAGAAGCCCCCAGGUUUAAUGAGUGCGGAUGGCGCGUCACUGUAUGAGCCUUUAAGGGCUAUAAGAGAGAGAAAGAAAAGAAGAAGAGAAAUGCAAGACAGAAAAUAUAUAUAAAAAAUGGACAGAGGAAGAAGACGAACAUAGAGUCCGGCGCUAGGCAGAGAAUCUUCGGAGACGGGCUGCGUUCCAUGGGUUCGGCUCGAGUCCGUUAUCCGAUGCAUCUCGCAGGCGGUACGCUCCACCAGUCAGGACUUGGUCGAUUAUGAAGGGACCUUCCCACUUGGGCUUGAGUUUGUCCUUUUUCUUGUCCGGUAGUCGUAGAACUAAUUCGCCAACGUUGUAAUUUUUGGCCCGUACUUCUCUGCUUUGGUAUCUUCGAGCCUGCUGUUGAUAGAAUGCGGAACGGGCUUUUGCCACGUCACGCUCCUCCUCCAAUGCGUCUAAGCUGUCCUGACGAUCGAGCUCGGCUUCUCUUUCUUCAUACAUGCGCACUCGAGGUGAGUCAUGAAUUAUGUCGCAGGGCAAAACUGCCUCUGCGCCGUACACCAUAAAGAAUGGUGUGUAUCCGGUGGUGUGAUUCGGUGUGGUCCGCAGCCCCCAGAGUAUGGAGUCGAUCUCCUCUACCCAGUGCAUGUUAGAUUCCUUGAGGGACCGCACUAAUCUGGGUUUAAUGCCGCUCAUGAUAAGACCAUUUGCACGUUCGACCUGGCCGUUAGUUUGUGGGUGAUAGACGGAAGCAUAGUCGAGCUUGAUGCCCAUGUUUUUGCACCAGAGUUUUACCUCAUCGGCCGUGAAGUUCGUGCCGUUAUCAGUGAUGAUGUUGUGGGGAACGCCGUAACGGUGUACGACCUCGGAUAUAAAGUCUAUCACCGGUCCGGAUUCGGCUGUCUUAACAGGCUUGGCUUCUAUCCGUUUGAUGAAUUUAUCCACCAUGACCAGUAAGUAUUUUUGCUUGUGGGUUCCGCCUUUAAGGGGUCCAACCAUGUCAAGCCCCCAGACCACGAAGGGCCAAGUAAUGGGGAUGGUUCGGAGGGCGGUGGGUGGCAUAUGGCUUUGGUUUGCAAAGAGCUGGCAACCGGUGCAUCGUUGGACUAAGUCCUGAGCGUCUGCCCGGGCCGUUGGCCAAUAAAAGCCUGUACGGAAGGCCUUGCUUACGAGGGACCGAGCUACAGCGUGAUGACCGCCCAGUCCAGCAUGAAUUUCGGCCAGGAGGUUCCGCCCCUCCUCUUGGGAGAUGCACCUUUGAAGGACUCCGGUAGUGCUUUUCUUAUAAAGCUCUCCCUCGUGGACUCUGUAGGCUUUGGAUCGCCGCACUAUGCAGCGUGCCUCAUUUUCGUCCUUGGGGAGUUCCUGCCUAGUGAGGUAGGCGAGGAAUGGUUCUGUCCACGGGGCGAUGAUGGCCAUUAUUACGUGGGCUAAAGGUGUUAUUUCAUUGGCAGAGCCUCCGACUGUGUCAGAAUGUUCGGUGUCGGGCAGUGUGGUUGGGUCCGGGUUGUUAUUGUUCGGCUCCCCUUCCCAUACUACGGAUGGCUCGAACAGCCUUUCCAGGAAGAUGUUGGGGGGGAGUACAUCGCGUUUUGCGCCGAUGCGUGCCAGGACAUCUGCCGCCUGAUUAUUUUCCCGGGCUAUAUGCUGAAAUUCAAGCCCCUCGAACCGAGCUGGCAUUUUUAGGACGGCGUUGUGGUAAGCUGCCAUUUUUGGAUCCUUGGCAUCGAAGUAUCCAUUUAUUUGGGAUAUAGCGAGGUUCGAGUCCCCGCGCACCUCUAGGCGUUGAAUGCCCAUGGAUACUGCCAUCCAGAGACCAUGUAAAAGGGCCUCAUAUUCGGCUGCGUUGUUGGAGUCCGUGUACAUAAUCUGGAGUACGUAUUGAACUGUGUCUCCUGUGGGGGAUGUCAAAACGACGCCAGCCCCCAGUCCGGCCAACAUCUUGGAGCCGUCGAAAUGCAUGAUCCAAUUUGAAUAUGUGCCAUACUCUUUAGGGAGUUCGGCCUCCGUCCAUUCUACGACGAAGUCGGCCAAGACUUGCAACUUGAUGGCUCGCCGUGGCUUAUAAGUUAUGUCGAACGGGAGGAGCUCAAUGGCCCAUUUUGCAAUCCGGCCCGUGGCGUCACGGUUGUUUAUAAUAUCGUUGAGUGGUACUUCCGAGGCUACUGUUAUUGAACACUCUUGAAAGUAAUGUCGUAGCUUCCGGGAUGCCAUGAAUACCGCGUAUGCGAUCUUUUGAUAAUGCGGGUACCGUGAUUUGCAAGGAGUGAGGACAGUGGACACAUAAUAGACCGGCUUUUGAAGGGGGGAUCUGUGUCCGUCCGUUUCUCGUUCCACGACGAGCACUUCGCUUACAACCUGAUGUGUUGCUGCAAUGUAUAAUAGCAUUGGUUCGCCAAUAUUUGGCGCGGCCAGGACUGGGUUUGUUGCAAGUAUGGCUUUUAUCUCCCCGAGUACGGCCGUGGCUGCAUCCGUCCAUUCGAAGUGUUCGGUGCACUGAAGGAGGCGGUAAAGGGGUAGGGCCUUUUCUCCCAAGCGGGAGAUAAAGCGGCUUAGAGCCGCCACGCAUCCGGUUAAUUUUUUUAUUUGUUUGGGGUCCUUUGGGAUAUCCAGUUGCGACAGAGCUCGGAUCUUGGCCGGAUUUGCUUCGAUUCCUCUACCGGAUACAAUGAAGCCCAAGAGCUUUCCGGCUGGAACGCCGAAAAUGCAUUUUUCCGGGUUGAGCUUGAUGUCGUAUGUUCGGAGGUUAUCAAAUGUGAGCCUCAAGUCGUCUACUAGAGAUUCGACAUGUCUUGUUUUGACGACCACAUCAUCUACAUAUGCCUCCACUGUUUUGCCGAUCUGGCUUGCCAGACAUGUCUGAAUCAUGUGUUGAUAUGUUGCGCCGGCGUUUUUGAGCCCGAAGGGCAUUGUGUUGAAGCAGAAUGGGCCGUAUGGUGUGAUAAAUGCCGUUGCGGAUUGGUCAGAUUCUGCCAUCUUGCUUUGAUGGUAGCCGGAAUAUGCAUCGAGGAAACACAACAAAUCGUGUCCUGCGGUAGCGUCGAUAAUUUGAUUGAUGCGGGGGAGGGGGAAGGGAUCCUUUGGGCAAGCCUUGUUUAGGUAUUUAAAAUCAACGCACAGGCGCCAGGAUUUGUCCUUCUUUGGUACCAUCACCAGGUUUGCUAGCUAGUCCCGAUGUUUUAUAUCUCUGAUGAAUCUAGCCUCCAAUAGCUUUGCUAGCUCCUCUCCCAUAGCCUGUCUCUUAGGUUCGGAAAAACGUUGAAGAGCCUGUUUGACAGGUUUGAAUCCUGUUUGGAUAUUUAAGCUGUGCUCGGCCAGCCUGCGUGGGAUUCCUGGCAUGUCUGAAGGGUGCCAGGCAAAAAUGUCCCAGUUUUCUCGUAGGAACUCUCGCAGUGCGGCAUCUACAUCAGGGUUUAACUGUGCCCCGAUGGAAGUUGUUUUAUUUGGGUCUAUUGGAUGGACUUGGAAUUCGACUAUUUCUUCCGCCGGUUUAAAGGAGGUGGACUUGGAUCUUUUGUCGAGUACCACAUCGUCCCUAUUCACUGUAGAGCGCAGCACAGUCAGUUCCUCAGCCGCUAGGGCUUCGGAUAGUGCCUCGAGGGCCAGUGCGGCUGUCUUGUUUUCGGCGCGGAGUGCUAUGUCCGGAUCACUAGCGAGAGUGAUGAUCCCGUUAGGCCCGGGAAUUUUGAGCUUCAUGUACCCGUAAUGGGGUAUUGCUUGGAAGAUUGUGAACGCUUCCCGCCCUAGCAGAGCGUGAUAACCGCUGCUGAACGGAGCCACAUGGAACGUGAUCUCUUUGGACCUGUGAUUAUCCGGCGUGCCGAACACCACAUCUAGUGUGAUUUUUCCUGUGCAUCGUGCUUCCCGACUGGAGAUUAUUCCUCUAAAGGUUGUGCUGCUUCGCUCAAUGCGGUUCCAGUCUAUUUCCAUUUUUUGAAGGGUUUCCUCGUAAAUGAGGUUCAAUCCGCUGCCGCCGUCCAUGAGUACCUUGGUAAGACGAAAGCCAUCCACUAUUGGGCUGAGGACCAAUGCGGCUGGUGCUUGGGUUGUUCGAAAUUUAGGUUCAUCACUGGCGUUAAAGGUAAUAGCCAUGUCACUCCAUGGGUUUAUUGUUGCUACUUGGUAGACUUCGGCAAGGCUGCGGAGUGUCCUUUUUCACAUAUUAUUUGAUGCGAAAGUCUCGAAGACUGUUAAUACCGUAUGGGUGUCUCUGGGGUUGCUUUCUGUGGCCUCCAGAAUUAGGAGGUUUUCGCCAAUUUUUGCCACCUGCCGGAGUAUCCAACAUGCUCUAAGGCUGUGAGUUGGUGUGGCGUCCUCUGUACUGUGAAUUUUACAGGGUCCGUUAAGCCGUCCUUCCAGUACGGUUCCAUGCCCUAUAUAGGGUUUUUGCUUUUUGGUAUUUGACCUGGGUGUCUGGUUAUGCUGUACCCUUUUAUUUCGGACUGGGUUUGUAUUUAGGACCGGAUUGUCCCAAAAUUUUAUUUUGGUUUUCCAGGCGCUUUCCAUCGCGCAAUACUUUUGUACAAUGGACGCCAAGUCAGCGAAGCGUGUGAUAUCACGGCGACUUAUGGCGUUGAGUAUUCCCUUGUCCGUGCAAUUAUUGCAGAAGAUUAAGAUUGUGUCUUCCUCGCGGCAGUCCCUUAUCCAGUUCUUAACCAGGAGGAAUCUAGCCCAGUAAUGAUGUACUGUUUCGUCGGGCUCUUGCCUGAUUUUGGAUAGAUCACUUAUGUUGGGGUGGGUGGGUGGAGUUAAAUCCGAAGCCUCACCCCGUCUAAGGCUCAGAGGCCGAGGAAUUUCUGAACUCGAAAAUUUGGUUAUCUGGGUGUUGUCCAAUGAAUCCAGCCCGUCGCCUGACUCUAAGUUCAGGUCUUGAGUGAUAUCCUCCCCUCUGCGGGUAUCCGGCUUGGAGGGAUCGGGAAUCCGGACGUAGCGAGUCCUUAAGAUAGACGAAGGGUCGCCGCACUGUCCCUCUACCACGACAACAUGGUGGGUGACUUGGGGAGAGUUAAUCUCUCUCAGAUUGGUUUUAGGCCCAAUCUGGUCAUAAUCCGUAGCGACUCCCAGGGCGGCGAAGCGAUCCAAGAGCUCGUUUAUGGAGGAAAGCUCCAUUGGAUCUAACUGCUCGGCGAGUUCCGAACUGACAUGAAGAUUGUUUUCGAUGGCUCGAGAGGUCAUCGUCGGUGCAGAAGCCGAACAGGCGGUCAUAAGAAAACCACCUAGCCGGAGGGUUUGGCCGACAGCCAAAGCUCCCUUAGCAACGGUGCCAUCUUUAAAGACGGGGCAAGUCAUCCUUCCUGAUGGCGACGACAUAGAGGAACUCUCAAUGAAAGCACCAAUGUCGGUGUCAAAACCAGCGGAUCUCGGGUAGGGGGUCCCGAACUGUGCGUCUAGGCCGGAUGGUAACAGGAGGCAAGGGACACAAAGUUUUACCCUGGUUCGGGCCUUCUCGAUGGAGGUAAAACCAUACAUCAUGCUUGAUUAAUAUUGAUGAUAUGGGUAGUACAAGAGUAGAUCUACCACGAGAUCAGAGAAGCUAAACCCUAGAAGCUAGCCUAUGGUAUGAUUGUUGAUGUGUAUGUUCUCCUACGGACUAAAACCCUUCGGUUUAUAUAGACACCGGAUAGGGUUAGGGUUACAUAGAGUCGGUUACAAUGGUAGGAGAUCUGAAUAUCCGUAUCGCCAAACUUGCCUUCCACGCCAUGGAAAGUCCCUUUCGGACACGGGACGAAGUCUUCAAUCUUGUAUCUUCAUAGUCCAGGAGUCCGGCUGAAGGUAUAGUUCGGCUAUCUGAACACCCCCUAAUCCAGGACUCCCUCACCCCUCUUGGAAGGGGGCCGCCUGCCGGAGUCCGGAACCACUGGAGGUUCCGGCGCGGUGUUCGGCUGAGGGCCGAACUUGGAGCCCUUGAGAGUCUUGCUCCCUUUGCUCCUGGAGUCUGAAAGGUCGCCUUGAGGCGCCUCCGGGACUAUCUCCCCCCGGCUCGGUGCCCCUUGAGACAAUACCUCGACAUUGUCCGUAGGGCAAGUAGAGGAGGCGGUUGGAAGUGUAUCACUAUCCAUAUCCGGUGAGUCCAAGGAACUGUUCGAUGAGGAUACGUCGAUACGGGCUCGGGGCGGACUGCAUAAUCAUAUUCGACGUUAGGAGAAGCAGUGCAACAAAAGUAUGCUAUGAGUUACUCUGGCAUCUGAAUACUUACGACUUCGCCAGGGGCUUGGCACUGAGUAGCCACUCGUCUUCACCGUCGGCGGCGGUGGUGGAACAGUCCGGAAGAAGAAUCCUUCCCUUCUUGGACCCUUCGGCCUCCACGGUUGGGGCGGCCUUCCUUUUCUUGUCUCCCCGGCUAGAGGGGAAAAUCUUCAUCUUCCUCCUCCUCGUUUUCACGGGAGGAGUGCGUCUCGGAGUUAUCGGACGAUAUGUCCGAUACCACCUGGUGCCGGGAACUCUCUCGGGUUCCCGUGGCCUUCUUCUUGGUCUUCUCCGGCACCUCAUAAGGAGCCAGAGUCCGCAUCUCCGUCAGGAGAGCAUCUGCAGGGUCUUCGGGUAGAGGGGUCGGAUAGUUAAUCUACUCCGAUGUCUCCACCCAGUCCUGUCAAAGGCAUGGGAGCUCAGACCCCGCACAUGGUUAAGCUAUGGGAAAUAAAUACCCUACCAGAUGUACAGAACUUACCGGAUUCGCAGGGCGCUUCGCGCUUAGCCCGCGGUCCUCAGUAAGAGAAGGGGGGACCUCGACGCCCUUGAAUAGCACCUUCCAGACGUCCUUAUGCGUCGUGUUGAAGAACUCACGUAGAGUCUGGUGCUGGGCCGGGUCGAACUCCCAUAAGUUGAAAGCCCGUUGUUGACACGGGAGGAUCCGGCGGAAGAGCAUGACCUAGACUAUGUUGACAAGCUUAAGUUUCUUGCUUAUCAUGUUUCGGAUACACUUUUGGAGUCCGUCCAGCUCCACCGAUGAGCCCCAGGACAGGCCCUUCUCCUUCCAGGAAGUGAGCCGCGUGGGGAUUCCGGAUCGAAACUCGGGGGCCGCCACCCAGUUGGUGUCGUGCAGCUCGGUGAUGUAGAACCACCCCGAUUGCCACCCCUUUAUGGUCUCUAUGAAGGAUCCCUCGGUCCAUGUAACGUUGGGCAUUUUGCCCACCAUGGAUCCGUCGCAUUCUGCUUGUUGGCCGCCAACCACCUACGGCUUGAUAUUGAAGGUCUUCAGCCACAGGCCGAAGUGGGGCCGGAUGCAGAGGAAAGCCUCGCAUACGACGAUGAACGCCGAGAUGUUGAGGAUGAAAUUCGGGGCCAGAUCAUGAAAGUCCAGCCCAUAAUAGAACAUAAGGCCGCGGACGAAUGGAUGGAGGGGAAACCCCAGUCCGCGGAUAAAGUGGGGGAGGAAAAACACCCUUUCGUGAGGUUUCGGGGUAGGAACGAUCUGCCCCGCGGCUGGCAGCCGGUGCGCGAUAUCCGCGGCUAAGUAUCCGGCCCCACGUAGUUUUUUGAUGUGUCCCUCUAUGACGGAGGAGACCAUCCACUUGCCUCCCGCUCCGGACAUGUUUGGAGAGAGUUGAGGAGAAGGAUGUGGACUUGGGCGCUGGAGCUCGAGCGCGCGCAAAUGGAUGAGUAAGGAGGAAGAAGGCGUGGGUAGAAAAAGGUGAAACCUUAUCCCUUUAUAAGGGCGGACGAAACUAUGCGCCCCCACAGCCUGGUAAAACUCGCUUAUCCCCCAAGCACCGUAAUUGAUGGCGCGGUUGGGUUACCCACGUCCGUAUUGAUGGGAAUCCCGUAAUAAGGGGACACGAUCUCUGCUUCGACAAGACGUGCCAAGGAAACCACCUCGCGGAACACGCUGAUAUAGGUUAUGAAAAACGAUUCGAAUAAAGACCUGGCUGUGGUGUGAUGCCACGCUAUGGAGUACGUCAGCAGAUCAGAUUUGUGAAAAUAUUAUUCUCUCUACGGAGGUAUGUGGAACUUGUUUUGCAAAGCCGGAAACGAUCCUCGUGUUCAAAAUCGUCUAUGAAGUAUUCGGAGGAGGAACCCGCCUUGCAAUGCCGAAGACAAUCUGCGCGCCGGACUCAUUGUCAUUGAAGCCUGGUUCAGGGGCUACUGAGGGAGUCCUGGAUUAGGGGGUAUCCGGACAGCCAGACUAUAUCUUUUGGCCGGACUGUUGGACUAUGAAGAUACAAGAUUGAAGACUUCGUCCCGUGUCCGGAUGAGACUCUCCUUGGCGUGGAAGGCAAGCUUGGCAAUACGGAUAUGCAGAUCUCCUUCCUUGUAACCGACUCUGUAUAACCCUAGCCCCUUCCGUUGUCUAUGUAAACCGGAGGGUUUUAGUCCGUAGGACAACAUACAAUCAUACCAUAGGCUAGCUUAUAGGGUUUAGCCUCUCUGAUCUCGUGAUAGGUCAACUCUUGAAUUAUUCAUAUUAUCAAGAAUAAUCAAGCAGGACGUAGUGUUUUACCUCCAUCAAAAGGGCCCGAACCUGGGUAAAACAUCGUGUCCCCUGCCUCCUGUUACCAUCUGCCUUAGACGCACAGUUCGGAACCCCCUACCCGAGAUCCGCCGGUUUUGACACCGACAGUGGGCCAGCGAGCGAGGGCGCGGGGGCAGCGCUGCAUGCGCGCGCAGGGCAGGCGGUGGGCGCACGCGGGGUGGGCGGCGCGCAUCGCUGUGUGCGCGCAAGGUAGGCGGCGGGAGGCGGGACGGCGCGCAGCGCGGCGGGCAACGGGGUGUGGCGAGCAGGAGCGGGCAGGNNNNNNNNNNNNNNNNNNNNNNNNNNNNNNNNNNNNNNNNNNNNNNNNNNNNNNNNNNNNNNNNNNNNNNNNNNNNNNNNNNNNNNNNNNNNNNNNNNNNNNNNNNNNNNNNNNNNNNNNNNNNNNNNNNNNNNNNNNNNNNNNNNNNNNNNNNNNNNNNNNNNNNNNNNNNNNNNNNNNNNNNNNNNNNNNNNNNNNNNNNNNNNNNNNNNNNNNNNNNNNNNNNNNNNNNNNNNNNNNNNNNNNNNNNNNNNNNNNNNNNNNNNNNNNNNNNNNNNNNNNNNNNNNNNNNNNNNNNNNNNNNNNNNNNNNNNNNNNNNNNNNNNNNNNNNNNNNNNNNNNNNNNNNNNNNNNNNNNNNNNNNNNNNNNNNNNNNNNNNNNNNNNNNNNNNNNNNNNNNNNNNNNNNNNNNNNNNNNNNNNNNNNNNNNNNNNNNNNNNNNNNNNNNNNNNNNNNNNNNNNNNCGGGACGGGCGGGGGGCGUGGCGAGCAGGAGCGGGCAGGAGGCGGGCGCCGCGGUGAGCGCGGGCGAGGCGGGCGGCGGGGCCAGCACCUACCCACCGACCGUAGCAGCAGCACAGCACGCGCUCGUAGCGCUGGCUGGCGGUUCCAUCCGUCCGUCGGUUGCACAGCGCGCGGGUCAUUCGUCCGUGCUCUGCUCUGUCCAGGGCCUCCACCCACCGCACGCACGUGCUCGUCACAGAGUACAAUAUCACAGGAUCCGCAUCACGGUUUCCAUUCCCAGUAUUCCAUUCUACUGUCUGGUCGAGCUCAUAUUUCCGAGCUAUGCGGCGGGCUCAAGAAAUAGCAGCACGUACAGGUACAGGGGCAUUCGCACCACACACACGGUAGUAUGAAAUGUUCUUCCACAUGUUUUAUCAUUAUAAAAGAAAUCAAUUGGUUCGAUCCAUCACGAGCCCCUCAUACUGAAUAGCAAAGCGACUAAACAAGCAGCAAAUCCCUAAACUCCAAUUUAUUAUUACACACCAAAGUCGCACAACAGUUUAACCAAAGAACGGUGGCAAAACUCAGUCUGAUAAAUGGAUCAUCAAAGAAGAUUCAACGCAUCCAGAAGCAAGGCCGACAUAGGAGCUGUGCACCAUGCCAGGGACGUAGCCAGUCGAGGAAGUUCAGCCAGUGAUCCUUGGAACCCCCAGACGACGCCACCCCUGCGAUGCACUGUAUGCUUCACCCGCCACCUGCUCCAUGACUUUUGCUCCCAGCGUCAACACCCUUUGAUUUCCCUUCUUUAUCUGCAAAAUUGCCUAAUUUGUUAUCCACCGAAAUAUCAACUUGAUAAGCAUAAUACGGUCAUUUAUCAUCUUUCUUUCAAAAAUAAUAUCAUUUCUGCUUCUCCAAAUUGUCCCAGAGAUAGCGGUAACAACAACUAACACCUGUUUUUCAGUUCCAUUGUGAAAACUUUUAAUAUAGGUACUAAAGC